AGCAAGGAAUAAGAAGACUGCACUCGUAUAAAAUUAAGAUUAAAAGCUACAAUGUGUGUGUGUGUGUGUGAGAAAGUUUGUGCUUCUGUUGCUAUGGACUGUAUCUGAUGCUCCUCUUAUGGGUCUGCCUCUAUGUCUAUGUAUUUAAGACGGCAAACAACUCAGAUGCUGCAGCUGAGAAGCAUUGAAUUUGUUGAAUUCAUUGCCAGGAUUACCUGUCAUAUAGCCACAAAGCACGAGGAAAUUAAAAAUUUCGCCAGCAACGAGCGUUAAGUGAAAACAAAGCAGCCUUUUAAUUUAACAGCAUGGCACACAAAAUAAAAAUAAAAAAAACACAAAAGCUUGAAGCUGACAAGAAAGUGUAGCAGCUGAGACAUUGUCGGCUUAGUUUAAGCCAAAAUUUGCUUUUGCCUCACAGCCAUCCAUAUGGGGCGUUCACGUCUAGACUCUGGACGCUGGCAUUGUCUUUGUUUUCUGAACCGGUCUCGGUCGUCAUCAUCAUCAUCAUCGUCAUUGUCAUCAUCAGUUGUGCGUCAUGCCGACUCAGACAGACCAUAAAAAGUAAUGCAGCUAAGUACAACUCGAUUGUUGUUGUUGCCAAUGAGCGCAGCAACAAUAAAUUGUGCAAUAAAUCAAUAAAGAACAAUAAAAAUAGAAACAACAAUCAUGAGUGACUAUUUUUCAACAAAGAAAACCUUCUCGAAAUGUGUUUAGCUCCAGAUCCUACCAGUAACUAGUUACUGCAAAAGCCUAGAACUGUUCAAAG
Drosophila grimshawi is the source of this 766-nucleotide long non-coding RNA. RefSeq lists it as uncharacterized. The transcript is spliced from 3 exons. The record is from RefSeq and is a predicted model, not a curated record. NCBI's taxonomy places the organism in Eukaryota, Metazoa, Arthropoda, Insecta, Diptera, Drosophilidae.